AUUGAACGCUGGCGGCAUGCUUUACACAUGCAAGUCGAACGGUAACAGGCCGCAAGGUGCUGACGAGUGGCGAACGGGUGCGUAAUGCAUCGGAACGUGCCCAGUCGUGGGGGAUAACUACUCGAAAGAGUAGCUAAUACCGCAUACGAUCUAUGGAUGAAAGCGGGGGACCGUAGGGCCUCGCGCGAUUGGAGCGGCCGAUGUCAGAUUAGGUAGUUGGUGGGGUAAAGGCUCACCAAGCCAACGAUCUGUAGCUGGUCUGAGAGGACGACCAGCCACACUGGGACUGAGACACGGCCCAGACUCCUACGGGAGGCAGCAGUGGGGAAUUUUGGACAAUGGGCGCAAGCCUGAUCCAGCAAUGCCGCGUGCAGGAAGAAGGCCUUCGGGUUGUAAACUGCUUUUGUACGGAACGAAACGGCUCUGGUUAAUACCCGGGGCUAAUGACGGUACCGUAAGAAUAAGCACCGGCUAACUACGUG
This 482-nucleotide ribosomal RNA is filed under the name uncultured bacterium. RNAcentral describes it as "partial 16S ribosomal RNA". It matches the Rfam family "Bacterial small subunit ribosomal RNA", at positions 30 to 507 of the family's 1533-position model. The record is from RNAcentral.